CGGAGUUUGACUGUAGAAGUCAAACUCCGUGUUUCCUGGAAAGCCUGAGGUUUUCAUGAUUGCUGAGUCCUGUAAUAAACUAUUAAUUAAGAUAUAUUAAUUUAUUCAGUAUAUGUCGUCUUGGACGGUCACAAAAAACUUUUAGGGUUAAAUCCUGUCCUCAAGAACUGGCUGUACCUUCACUGCAAAAAGAUAAUGGGGCGCGUGGACCCGUGCGUGUGAGUGCCCAAUCAAAGGCUUUCCAUACUUGCAGAUGUCCACCGUUGGGAUGCUGAAAGCACACGGUCAUUGCACACCGCAGACAAACACAAACGUGACAAACUUCUUAUCUCAGUUUUCUCUUCAAAUGAAUGGGAAAUGUUUUCCUCGAAACUAAAUGCACUUUAGUCCAAAGAGCGUCUAGAAGUUAAGUAGGACUACAGUCAUUCUGUUAUGGACGCGCGCUUUGGACAGGUACCCCUCAACAUUACGCACAGGCUCGGCGGGGUGAACCAGCUCGGCGGAGUCUUCAUUAAUGGCCGCCCGCUGCCGCACUUGGUGAGACAGCGGAUCGUGGAGCUCGCUCUGCAGGGCGUGCGUCCCUGUGAGAUCUCCCGCCGGCUGCGCGUCAGCCACGGCUGUGUCAGCAAAAUACUGGCCAGGUACAAUGAGACAGGAAGCAUCAGACCAGGAGUGAUUGGAGGCUCUAAGCCCAAAGUAGCCACUCCCUGUGUUGUGCAAAUGAUCGUGCAUCUGAAACACACCAACCCCACCAUGUUCGCCUGGGAGAUCCGAGACAGGCUGCUUCUGGAGCGAGUGUGUGACCAUGACAGCGUGCCCAGCAUCAGCUCCAUCAACAGGAUCAUCAGAAACAAAGUCAACUCAGAUUCUUGUGAAGUUGUGUCAUCAUCUGUUUCUACGGGAACCGCCUAUUCCUCUGAGUCCACGUAUUCCAUCAGUGGGAUUCUGGGAAUCGGGAAGUUCAACAGCAAACACAAAGAAGAUAAAUAAAAGUGAUCCUGGACGGAAGCUGUUUUGUUUCAAAGGAGGUGAUGCCCCCUGCUGCGUGUAUCACAAGCAGCCACGUUCCUGUAAUGAUGCCUGGGGAUGGUCCGACCCCUGCCUCACCUUUUACCCUGGCCUACCAACAAAUCAUAAUCCAGACUUUUUAGGGCCUCCGUGUCAUUACAGAUGAUCAGAGCAGCUCAGACAAAAGAACAUCAUCCUUUUAAUCCCAAAACCAAGAUGAUUUCAAAACUGGAUUGACUAAAAUUGUUAGAUUACAAUAUGAAUGAAAUCAAGAUAUAAACAUAAAUAACAAACAUUUUGAAAUAAAUAUGAAAUAACCUCA
Molecule: RNA transcript, 1330 nt
Organism: Eleginops maclovinus (Patagonian blennie)
Lineage: Eukaryota; Metazoa; Chordata; Actinopteri; Perciformes; Eleginopidae
Gene name: paired box protein Pax-5-like
Exons: 8
Source: RefSeq, a predicted model, not a curated record